Molecule: ribosomal RNA, 200 nt
Filed under: Enterococcus alcedinis
Lineage: Bacteria; Bacillati; Bacillota; Bacilli; Lactobacillales; Enterococcaceae
Description: partial 16S ribosomal RNA
Rfam family: Bacterial small subunit ribosomal RNA
Source: RNAcentral
UUUAAUGAGAGUUUGAUCCUGGCUCAGGACGAACGCUGGCGGCGUGCCUAAUACAUGCAAGUCGAACGCUUCUUUCUUAUCGAACUUCGGUUCACCAAGAAAGAAGAGUGGCGGACGGGUGAGUAACACGUGGGUAACCUGCCCUUUAGCGGGGGAUAACACUUGGAAACAGGUGCUAAUACCGCAUAAUCUUUUUUCUC